This 666-nucleotide ribosomal RNA is filed under the name Triticum aestivum (bread wheat). RNAcentral describes it as "partial small subunit ribosomal RNA". The record is from RNAcentral. Lineage: Eukaryota; Viridiplantae; Streptophyta; Magnoliopsida; Poales; Poaceae.
AUGGCGGGGGAACGGUGGUACGACGGUCUUCAUAAAGGGUACGACAAAGACCAUCGUGCGCGGGACAUUGAGAAUAACAGGGAACUAACACCUAUGCGCAUGAGGGGUCAUAGUGCCCACAACUGGCCGUGCGACGAGCGGUAUGAGCCAUACUUCGAGAGAUUGGGCCUUCUCCCGUUCGUGCUUCAGUUCAAGCGACACGCUCCGUCGAUCAACCAUGGGGCGAUGACCGCACUUAUUGACCGUUGGAGGCCAGAGACACACUCGUUCCACUUGUCAUGUGGAGAGAUGACCGUGACCUUGGAGGACAUGGCGAUGAUCAGUGGCCUUUCAAUCAAUGGAGAAGCUUUGACCGGCACCACCGUAAGUGCUAAUUGGCGAGAUCGUGUUGGCCAAUUGACAGGUGUUUUCCCCGAGCCUCCUGAAGAAGGCGAGCGUGACAGUGAGGAAGUGUUGCAUCAUUGGCUCCGAGGGGAGAGAGGAGUAGUAUGCCCUCCGGACGCCAAUGAGGUUGUUGUGCAGCAGCACGCCCGAGCAUAUCUGUGGUAUCUGUUAACGAGGGUAGUGUUUCCAGAUUCUACCGGUAAUAAAGCCCAGUGGAUAUUCUUGGACCUACUAAGUGACUGGGACCGUAAGUACAGUUGGGGUUCAGGAGCACUAGCAUAA